Gadus macrocephalus (Pacific cod) is the source of this 1198-nucleotide long non-coding RNA. RefSeq lists it as uncharacterized. The record is from RefSeq and is a predicted model, not a curated record. Lineage: Eukaryota; Metazoa; Chordata; Actinopteri; Gadiformes; Gadidae. The transcript is spliced from 2 exons.
CGUUGUAUUUAAUUUAUAAUUUUUUUUUAAAUCUAAUAAUUACUGCUGCUCCAAUUGUAUGGGACUGUUGCCAAGUUAAUCCCUCCAAUAAUUGAAUAACAAUGUCAUUUCAACAGCACCAAUCACAUGGGGAAGUUUGCGGACGACACAACUCUGGUGGGACUCAUCACCAAGGACGACGAGAGCCACUGCAGGAAGGAGUCAACCUUCUGACCACGUGGUGCAGAGACAACAACCUUCUACUGAAUGUCAGCAAAACCAAAGAGAUUGUUGUUGACUUUCGGAGAUGGCACAACGAACACCCACCACUGACCAUCGAUGGUGCUGCUGUGGAGAGAGUGAGCAGCACCAAAUUCCUGGGGGUGCACAUCAGUGAAGACCUCUCCUGGACCACCAACACUGCAUCACUGGCAAAGAAAGCACAGCGGCACAUUCUACCGGGACACCAUUGAGAGCAUCCUGUCCAGUUGCAUCACUGUGUGGGGCGGGAGCUGCACUGACUACUACAGGAGAGCCCUGCAACACAUAGUGAACACAGCUGGAAAGAUCAUGGGUGCCCCAUGAUCUUUCCAGCAACUUUGUUACUUACUUGCUGACUUUUAAAUAAACUUGCCAAUAAAACGGUCAACCUCCCUAUAAAAGAGGGGGAUACAGUACAGUAGAGGUAUGAGUGUAGGAUAAUAUCCCUCCAAUAAUUGAAUAACAAUGUAAUUUAUAAAACGAUGGCUCACUUUUAAAGGCAGAGUGUCUGAUUGGUGCGACAGUAACACAGCAGCAUGUUCAGUUUAACAUUCUAAUUUUUAUGUCAUCUUUAAUAUCAAAAUCCAAAUCUUAUCUAUUAAGAUGUAAGAUACAGUAGUUUCCUGGUCGAACAACAAUUGUAUUUCCACACAAACAUUUAUUUGCUGUUUUCCAUUGGAUAUUGUCCUACACCAUUUGUAUUAACUUGAAUGUAAUCGAUUUAAACAAUAUUGCACAUUUGUAGAAUUCAAAUAUUAUCUAAAUACAUAAAUAAAUCAUUAAUAAAGUAAUGCUUAUAAUCCACAUUCACUUGCCAGAAAUACCCCACCACUAAACCCUGAGUAAUACUUUUUAAAGUUUGAAAAGCUGUAGUUUCCUUUUUCCAGUGUUUUAGUUAAUCACCUGCUCUUCACAGCCCACUUCAGUGUUUUUUUGUUGGUCACAACUCCUUCAUCAG